Molecule: ribosomal RNA, 263 nt
Filed under: Pseudomonas sp.
Lineage: Bacteria; Pseudomonadati; Pseudomonadota; Gammaproteobacteria; Pseudomonadales; Pseudomonadaceae
Description: partial 16S ribosomal RNA
Rfam family: Bacterial small subunit ribosomal RNA
Source: RNAcentral
GGUAAUACAGAGGGUGCAAGCGUUAAUCGGAAUUACUGGGCGUAAAGCGCGCGUAGGUGGUUCGUUAAGUUGGAUGUGAAAUCCCCGGGCUCAACCUGGGAACUGCAUCCAAAACUGGCGAGCUAGAGUAUGGUAGAGGGUGGUGGAAUUUCCUGUGUAGCGGUGAAAUGCGUAGAUAUAGGAAGGAACACCAGUGGCGAAGGCGACCACCUGGACUGAUACUGACACUGAGGUGCGAAAGCGUGGGGAGCAAACAGGAUUAG